GUGCCAGCAGCCGCGGUAAUACAGAGGGGGCAAGCGUUAUUCGGAAUUAUUGGGCGUAAAGGGCGCGUAGGCGGUCGUUCAAGUGGUAGGUGAAAUCCCUCGGCUCAACCGAGGAGCUGCCCGCCAAACUGAAUGACUUGAGUCCGGGAGAGGUGAGUGGAAUUCCCAGUGUAGCGGUGAAAUGCGUAGAUAUUGGGAGGAACACCAGUGGCGAAGGCGGCUCACUGGACCGGCACUGACGCUGAGGCGCGAAAGCGUGGGGAGCAAACGGGAUUAGAUACCCGCGUAGUCC
This 292-nucleotide ribosomal RNA is filed under the name uncultured bacterium. RNAcentral describes it as "partial 16S ribosomal RNA". It matches the Rfam family "Bacterial small subunit ribosomal RNA", at positions 505 to 796 of the family's 1533-position model. The record is from RNAcentral.